Long non-coding RNA from Neopelma chrysocephalum (saffron-crested tyrant-manakin), 326 nucleotides. RefSeq lists it as uncharacterized. NCBI's taxonomy places the organism in Eukaryota, Metazoa, Chordata, Aves, Passeriformes, Pipridae. The transcript has 3 exons. The record is from RefSeq and is a predicted model, not a curated record.
UGCAGAGAAUGUGUGCAGCCUCAGAGGGCCAGAGCCACCUGCCAAUUAGGUUUGAUGGUCUUCAGCUGUCCUCGUACGGCACACGGUGAUGGCAGCAGCCUCUGACUCAGGUCGGAGCCAGUGGCCCGAGAACCUCUCAGCUUAGGGGACGCCAACUGAGUCAGCAAUCACAGGACCCUCUGAGCCAGCCAGGCAUCCUUCCUUCCCAUCGAAGAUGGAUUCACAUCCCCGACUAUGGGAAAGAUAAGUGGAGGACUACCACCUGGAGAGGGGAUGAGAGCUGGGUCCAAUUUUAUGAUUAGGAGGGAGGAAUUUUCAAAUUAGCA